AGCGAACGCUGGCGGCAGGCCUAACACAUGCAAGUCGAACGAACUCUUCGGAGUUAGUGGCGGACGGGUGAGUAACACGUGGGAACGUGCCUUUAGGUUCGGAAUAACUCAGGGAAACUUGUGCUAAAUACCGAAUGUGCCCUUCGGGGAAAGAUUUAUCGCCUUUAGAGCGGCCCGCGUCUGAUUAGCUAGUUGGUGAGGUAAAGGCUCACCAAGGCUACGAUCAGUAGCUGGUCUGAGAGGAUGACCAGCCACAUUGGGACUGAGACACGGCCCAAACUCCUACGGGAGGCAGCAGUGGGAAUCUUGCGCAAUGGGCGAAAGCCUGACGCAGCCAUGCCGCGUGGAUGAUGAAGGUCUUAGGAUUGUAAAUCCUUCACCGGUGAAGAUAAUGACUGUAGCCGGAGAAGAAGCCCCGGCUAACUCGUGCCAGCAGCCGCGGUAAU
This 446-nucleotide ribosomal RNA is filed under the name uncultured bacterium. Its description in RNAcentral is "bacterial SSU rRNA". It matches the Rfam family "Bacterial small subunit ribosomal RNA", at positions 29 to 524 of the family's 1533-position model. The record is from RNAcentral.